RNAcentral lists this ribosomal RNA (484 nucleotides) under uncultured bacterium. RNAcentral describes it as "partial 16S ribosomal RNA". It matches the Rfam family "Bacterial small subunit ribosomal RNA", at positions 30 to 507 of the family's 1533-position model. The record is from RNAcentral.
AUUGAACGCUGGCGGCAGGCCUAACACAUGCAAGUCGAGCGGAUGAAGGGAGCUUGCUCCUGGAUUCAGCGGCGGACGGGUGAGUAAUGCCUAGGAAUCUGCCUGGUAGUGGGGGAUAACGUCCGGAAACGGGCGCUAAUACCGCAUACGUCCUGAGGGAGAAAGUGGGGGAUCUUCGGACCUCACGCUAUCAGAUGAGCCUAGGUCGGAUUAGCUAGUUGGUGGGGUAAAGGCCUACCAAGGCGACGAUCCGUAACUGGUCUGAGAGGAUGAUCAGUCACACUGGAACUGAGACACGGUCCAGACUCCUAAGGGAGGCAGCAGGGGGGAAUAUUGGACAAUGGGCGAAAGGCUGAUCCAGGCAUGCCGCGUGGGGGAAGAAGGUCUUCGGAUUGUAAAGCACUUUAAGGUGGGAGGAAGGGCAGUAAGUUAAUACCUUGCUGUUUUGACGUUACCAACAGAAUAAGCACCGGCUAACUUCGUG